RNAcentral lists this ribosomal RNA (522 nucleotides) under uncultured bacterium. RNAcentral's name for it is "bacterial SSU rRNA". It matches the Rfam family "Bacterial small subunit ribosomal RNA", at positions 337 to 859 of the family's 1533-position model. The record is from RNAcentral.
UCCUACGGGAGGCAGCAGUGAGGAAUAUUGGUCAAUGGAGGCAACUCUGAACCAGCCAUGCCGCGUGAAGGAUGACGGCCCUAUGGGUUGUAAACUUCUUUUGAAUAGGAAGAAACUUAUCUACGUGUAGAUAACUGACGGUACUAUUAGAAUAAGGAUCGGCUAACUCCGUGCCAGCAGCCGCGGUAAUACGGAGGAUCCAAGCGUUAUCCGGAUUCAUUGGGUUUAAAGGGUCCGUAGGCGGAUCUUUAAGUCAGUGGUGAAGGCCGACAGCUUAACUGUCGAACUGCCAUUGAUACUGGAGAUCUUGAGUACAAAUGAAGUAGGCGGAAUGAGUCAUGUAGCGGUGAAAUGCAUAGAUAUGACUCAGAACACCGAUUGCGAAGGCAGCUUACUAACAUGUAACUGACGCUGAGGGACGAAAGCGUGGGGAGCGAACAGGAUUAGAUACCCUGGUAGUCCACGCCGUAAACGAUCAUCACUCGCUGUUGGCGAUAUACUGUCAGCGGCCAAGCGAAAGUA